UUCGUGUGUGUACGGGUCGGGGGGGGGGGAUUCAGCGUUUGUGAUCUGAACCUUUGGUACCUACAAGGAGGGUGUAUCACCGAAACGGUAGCUAAAACCUCACCAGAACCGUGCGGAAGUGAGCAGUCGCGGCCAAAGGCAUCUGCCCGAGCCUCUUCUCUCGGCCGGACCCGGCCCGAGCGGCCAACAGGAGCCCCCCGCCCGGAUUGCAGAAACACUAUAAUUCUAUCAAUUUUAUGAGACUUAUGUGCAAACCCAAUAUAUUCAUCUAUGUGGUCUACUGAUGGGAAGUAGAAUCAGAUAUUUCAGUUUCAACACUAUCAAGCAAAAGAAAAAUUAGUUGUGAUUCCAAGAAGAAAUGAACUCAAUUGGUAAGAAAAUAUUUGUUUUAUACAUUUCUGAAAUAACUAUAAAUGCCAUAC
Molecule: long non-coding RNA, 422 nt
Filed under: Cavia porcellus (domestic guinea pig)
Lineage: Eukaryota; Metazoa; Chordata; Mammalia; Rodentia; Caviidae
Description: lncRNA (ENSCPOG00000032697.1)
Source: RNAcentral